This 503-nucleotide ribosomal RNA is filed under the name Streptococcus sp. oral clone BP1-21. Its description in RNAcentral is "bacterial SSU rRNA". It matches the Rfam family "Bacterial small subunit ribosomal RNA", at positions 36 to 521 of the family's 1533-position model. Lineage: Bacteria; Bacillati; Bacillota; Bacilli; Lactobacillales; Streptococcaceae. The record is from RNAcentral.
CUGGCGGCGUGCCUAAUACAUGCAAGUAGAACGCUGAAGCUUGGUGCUUGCACCGAGCGGAUGAGUUGCGAACGGGUGAGUAACGCGUAGGUAACCUGCCUCUUAGCGGGGGAUAACUAUUGGAAACGAUAGCUAAUACCGCAUAAAAGUCGAUAUCGCAUGAUAUUGAUUUGAAAGGUGCAAUUGCAUCACUAAGAGAUGGACCUGCGUUGUAUUAGCUAGUUGGUGAGGUAACGGCUCACCAAGGCGACGAUACAUAGCCGACCUGAGAGGGUGAUCGGCCACACUGGGACUGAGACACGGCCCAGACUCCUACGGGAGGCAGCAGUAGGGAAUCUUCGGCAAUGGGGGCAACCCUGACCGAGCAACGCCGCGUGAGUGAAGAAGGUUUUCGGAUCGUAAAGCUCUGUUGUAAGAGAAGAACGAGUGUGAGAGUGGAAAGUUCACACUGUGACGGUAACUUACCAGAAAGGGACGGCUAACUACGUGCCAGCAGCCGCGGU